This 220-nucleotide long non-coding RNA is filed under the name Ursus americanus (American black bear). RNAcentral's name for it is "lncRNA (ENSUAMG00000012577.1)". Lineage: Eukaryota; Metazoa; Chordata; Mammalia; Carnivora; Ursidae. The record is from RNAcentral.
GCUUUGUUUUUCCAGGUCUAUAAAGGAGAAUUUCAGCUCCCUGAAUUUCUUAAAGAAAAACCACAGACUGAGGAAGUGGAAUAGCAGAGCCAGGAACCUCUUACGUACAUGAGGGAAGACUGCUGCCUUUCAACAGAAGCGAAAUUUCUAGGACUGGCUGUCCCUGCUGAGAUCAGUGGAGCGUAUGUACCAUGGCCCGCAUCUCCUGUUCCCUUGCCAG